AUUUUUCCCCAUGUCAGUAUAAAAGAUGCAGCAAUGUUCCCAAGCAAUUAUAACUCAAUGUUUCAUCACAGAAGUUCGAUUAAAGGUUAUUCAAAAUGGGCGUAAUAUCAUCUUCCACACGGAGUAUUGACGAGGACAAUGCUGAUAUCAAGAGAAUGUUUGCGGCAGCAAAAAUGGGAAAUUGGGGGGAGGUAUGGCGGAUUCUAGGGACCCCAGGCCGACCACUGAAACCAUAUCUCAUAAACCUAGUCCCAGAAGACAGACGAUGGGGUUUACUCCAGCAGGCUGUUUGGUGGAACAAUCUCUCUGCAAUCAGAACUCUUCUACAGUUUCAAGCAUGCGACAAAGAAUUAAAGGCAAAGGAUGGCAUUUCCGAGAAAGGACCAACCAGUGGAAAUACAGCUCAGGAAAUAGCUGAAUUGUUUGGAUAUUUAGAGGCUUCGAAAAUCAUUAAGAACCACAUAACCUCGAAAGUGAGGAGGACAUCGAAACAUUCUAUGAUGGGAGUAGCUCUAUCGAAAAUGAAGAAUAUGGUCUAUUUAGACUUACAUUGGCGGCUUACAAAGGCGUUUUUCAUCCGGCUGUUGUCGACAAAACGAAAUCACUUUCAGCUUUAUUGAAUGAUGUAUUUAGACAUGUGAAUACAGGUAAAAACUGGGUUGCUGUUAGGGAUAAAGUUGCACAGUCGCUUUACCCAGCAUGUACGGAAGCAAGCGAUGUAGUUAGUAAGUGUACCAACAGAUUUGACCUCUACAGAACGAUCGUCAAGGUAUAUACCGACGAAGAUACCCAAUUAUACACUUAUCUGAAUACAGCUUUGAGGCGACAGCGUGAUACGGGCUUCAAACCUACAGGAAAUGAUCUAGCACUCGGACCGUAUAUUCUUAUGUUCCAUCUACUUUUGUUUUGUUGGAGGGAUUUGGUAAGAGAAAAAACGAAAACAUAUCGCAAAAUGAAAAUUUCUGCUCGAGAUCUCGCAAAGUACCAACCAGGAAAAAAGUUUACUUGGUUAUCUUUUGUUUCAUCUUCUGUUCAACAGCAAUGCGCUCAGAUUUUUCCGUCCUGCACACCGAGUGGCAACAUUGAAGUACAUUUUGUUAUUGAUAACUCUUCUGAUUCGCAGUGGCAACCACUCAACAUUGAAAACUACGCAUGUUAUACGGAAAAAGAAAGAGUUUACCCAGCAGGAGCACAAUACCUGGUUAAAAGAUAUUCAGUAAAAAAGGGAGUACCGACAAUUCUUCUGAAGCUUUUAGGAAGCGAAUAGUGACGAUUACUGUCGUAGUAAUACUAGAUUAUUGACUGAAAUGGUAUUGUUCUUUUAGUCACUCUGAUAUUGUUGUUUAUCAGAUUUAGUUUUUUGUGUAUUAUAAUAUUAAUAACUAUUUGCAGCGUUAUUUGAUACUAUUUCAUUUUCAAAUAGAAUUGUGAUUGUUUUAUAGUUUUUAAAGGAACCUAUAUA
This is a long non-coding RNA of Mytilus californianus (California mussel), 1462 nucleotides long. RefSeq lists it as uncharacterized. Lineage: Eukaryota; Metazoa; Mollusca; Bivalvia; Mytilida; Mytilidae. The record is from RefSeq and is a predicted model, not a curated record. The transcript is spliced from 2 exons.